This 165-nucleotide ribosomal RNA is filed under the name Triticum aestivum (bread wheat). RNAcentral's name for it is "partial small subunit ribosomal RNA". Lineage: Eukaryota; Viridiplantae; Streptophyta; Magnoliopsida; Poales; Poaceae. The record is from RNAcentral.
GCACUUGAAGAUGGUACCUCUCCACCAAAUUUCUUAACACCCAGAUACUUGGGGUUAGAGUCGCGGCCAUUUUUCGUUGACCCAGCAGUCUUUUUUGUGGCCCAACGCCUAAAGACCAAGCUCAUUCCUCCAGAUGUCUCUGGAAUUAAGUACAUACAAGAUUAG